This is a long non-coding RNA of Homo sapiens (human), 2989 nucleotides long. Ensembl annotates it as long intergenic non-protein coding RNA 2306. The record is from Ensembl. Lineage: Eukaryota; Metazoa; Chordata; Mammalia; Primates; Hominidae.
AAAAGAAUGGGGAAGUAUUGGUUCCAGACCUGCUGCAGAGAGAGGCUCAAAGAGACUCGGCACUGGCAGAACAAAGAAACCUAGGAGGGAAGCUUUGCUCCAAAAGAGAGGUUUUGCUUCAGGAGAAGACUGUUCCAAGAAAAGGGAGACUGGCUGUUUCAAACUCAAAAAAGCUGAUCUUAUGGCUCUUAGCAAAAUACAUGAAGGCCAUCAUCGGAUGUGGGCUGAUUGAUCUUGGACUUCCAAGCCUCCAGAACUAGAACUACUCCACCAUCAUCUGAUGUGGUUCUGAUGGCUGUGUGUUUCUCAGCUUUAUCCUCAGCCUGUGGGUAAUUUAAAAUAAAUACUUUUGCAAGUGAACCAAUAGAAAUAUUUCACUGUCAUUGGGCAGAAAGCUAAAAACCUAAUUACGUUGGAAGUAGGAAGAGGAAGUAAGUAUGGUUGGAAGAGGUGGAGUCUGGUGCUGCCAGAGCAGAAAGCACAAAGAAGAACGUGCUUUUAGGUGGGUGCCCUAAGAGACAUGAUAAGUGAAAAAGGGUUACAGCCUCUGGCUAUCAGAGACUCAUGGAUUCCCCAUCUUACCUCUUGGAACACGUGCUCCUAGACCCAGCUGCCAUGCAAUGAGGAAGCCAAAGUAAUGCUGUAAAGAGGCUCACAUGGAGAGGAACUACCAACAGCCAGUAUCAAACUGCAAUCCAUGCAAGUAAAGGCACCUCAACUGACAUCAUUUAGAGUGGGAAUGUGAUGUGCCAGUCAAGUCUUGACCACAUUGCAAUUAGCAGAGAAUGGCCAGACACAUUCUCCUGAACCACUGGUCCUCAAUUAUCAUCAUCUGUGGUUUGUUAUCUGGGAAACCUGACUGGAGACAUGAGAACAGUGAUGCCAAGAGUACACCAAUGAAACAUUUUGAAGCUGGAUCACCUACCUGGACCCCUUUCUGGUAACAUCUUUCUGGUGAACCCUGAAGGGAUGAUACUGAAGAGAUUCCCCGACCCAAAGGAAAAUCGUCUGCCUGCACCAAUAGGCUGACUUUGGGGUGACCAUCUUGCCCAGAGAACACAAGCUGAGACUCCUGGUCAGAGGUUGGAUUACCAAUGACUGAGCCCAACUGGGGACAAGUUUGAGCCUUGCCAAUGUGAUAUUGAGGGCUAAGCAGAGUGGCUAAUGUCUAUGUUUUGUCACACAUAUUUUGCUCUGGCCAAAAAGAAAAACAUAAUUUUCCUUUGUGUUGUGGCUUGGCACCCAGGGCUGUGAUACAGCUUGCUGGGUUACCAGGUUUGCUCAGGGAAGGGGAACCCAGAAGCCUGGCAUAGUAAAAAUUUCUUACCAAACUUCUGGUGUCUCUCUCUCUCUCUGUCUGUCUCUCUCUCUCUCUCUGCAAACUGGUUGAAUGAAUGGCAAAAAUCAUUGUUUAUCACCUCUGUAAAGUUUUGAUUAAUGGGAAGAAGGAUUCAUGAGACUCAUCUUGAGCUGUAGUGAAUCUAGUGUACUUUGUGUGUCUUUCUGUAUUGCUCUGUCAUAAAGAGGGAUACCUUAAGAUAAAAUGUGAGCCUAGGACCUCGUAAGCUUGUUGUUCAGAAUGGCCCAGCGAACUGGUCAGUUCCAGCUGUGCCUGCUUAUUAGACCCUAGGAAGUGCAUGCUUUAAAGAGAAACAUAAAAAUUUGCAAGUGAUAAGCCUUACAACUACAGGGUCUUCUUUCUGUCGGUGUAUUUAUAUGUGUUGUGUGUAAUAUGAAAGAGUUUUGAUUAAUUGGCUUAAUAAUAAGAGCUUAAACAAAAUAUUUUGUCAGAAGAGUAGAAAGUGUAAUCCCUUUUAGUUCAUGUGACUUUUAGUAAUCUUUGGGAAAUAAAAACAGUUUUAAAGAUUAUUAGUAAAAUAAAAAUUUCUUCAAAAAUGUAAACAUUUGGUCUAAAUUGUGCAGGUCAGAUAUAACGUAGGCUAAAUGCUUUAUCAUGAUAAACUGCUUCUUUGACUUUUGAAAAUUGUUCAUUUUACUUAUCUUGAAGCCAUUAGAUUCUAGAUAAGGCCUAGGGACAUGUGGAAUUAGCCAUAUCUCCUAGCUAUGCAAAGAAGGUUAUAAAGAUCCUUAUAUAAGAAAGGAUCAUGUAUGGUAAAUUCUAUUUCUAAAGUAAAAUGACUGGUUGCUUAAAAAGAUAUUUAGGUCAAGUCAGAAAGUCCAAGCACAUUGUAUACUGUCUGUGUAAGUCAUGAAAGAAUUUGUGAAAGGAAUUUAUGCAAGAAAUGCUGUACAAUUUGAGGGUUGUCAGGCUUCCUACAUGCUUCAUAAUAUGCCACUAUGACUCUUAACCAUACAGCUUGCCUGCUUUGCAGCUAGGUAAGGCCUGGGACAUGUGGAGUUAGCCAUGCCUCCUAGCUAUGCUGGAAACAGUGAGAUGUUAUCUGCACUUCCAUCUGGGUCCUAGGCUCCACACCUGGUUCAUAAUUAAAAUCGCUGACUUACCAAGGUUUUCACCAAAAGUAAAAGUCACUAAGAGUUAACAUUAUAAUAUGUAAUUGAGACUACUUAAAAAACAGUUUUACAUGCAAGGUGUGUAAGAAAAGUGAAAUGUGUUUUUGGUAAAAGAUUAUAAGAAGGCACAGGAAUGUGGAUUUCUUGCCUAAGUUUCAAGGGUUAAAGGAUUGUUUUAAGUUAGAUAAGCUGAAGCUUUGAGAAAAUUGUGUAAGGUUUGUGAAAAAAUAAGCUUGUAAAAGAAAUUCUGUGUGUGCACAUAUUGGCUAAAGUAAAAGAGGUGUUAUUCAGUUUUUCCAUAAAUUGAACAUUGGAAUAAAAGCACAACAGGUUUUUCUUAGAGCAUUUAUCUGUUCUUUAACAAAAAUUGUAAAGUGUUAUAAAAGGUUUAUAAGAAUCUUACCUUAUGUUCAAAGUGAGUAAGGUUAAAUAGAUUGGUUUAUAAGGUUUUAUUAAGAAUUAGGAUUAACAUUAAUAGUACUAAUGUAAAGGUAAAAUUUGGCUUAUUUGGUAUAAA